RNAcentral lists this unclassified non-coding RNA (351 nucleotides) under rhizosphere metagenome. Its description in RNAcentral is "partial ribosomal RNA internal transcribed spacer region". The record is from RNAcentral.
GUAGGUGAACCUGCGGAAGGAUCAUUAACACGUAUCCACGUAUCAACCCCUUUGUGCUUUUUCGUUUAUUUAACCCUGUCUUGAACUGCUGAUCCUGAGGCUUCACCGAUAGAACGUUGAAUGGUUUUGGGCGCAAGCCCAAAGUUCUGGUGUCGCUGUUGCACUUCGGUGCAUCGGGUUGGUGGUUCUACCGUACAGGUUACAAAUGUUAACCAUUCGGCAUUGCCCCAUUAAUACUAACCCCUUUAAAAAUCUUGCUAACUUAAUUUGAUUUUGCUUUUGUCUUCGGACGAAACGAAUUCAAUAUUACGAAAUGCUUGACAACUCUUAGCAACGGAUAUCUUGGUUCUC